RNAcentral lists this ribosomal RNA (497 nucleotides) under uncultured bacterium. RNAcentral's name for it is "partial 16S ribosomal RNA". It matches the Rfam family "Bacterial small subunit ribosomal RNA", at positions 28 to 507 of the family's 1533-position model. The record is from RNAcentral.
GAUGAACGCUGGCGGCGUGCCUAAUACAUGCAAGUAGAACGCUGAAGGAAGGAGCUUGCUCUUUCCGGAUGAGUUGCGAACGGGUGAGUAACGCGUAGGUAACCUGCCUGGUAGCGGGGGAUAACUAUUGGAAACGAUAGCUAAUACCGCAUAACAGUAGAUGUUGCAUGAUAUCUACUUAAAAGGUGCAAUUGCACCACUACCAGAUGGACCUGCGUUGUAUUAGCUAGUUGGUGAGGUAACGGUUCACCAAGGCGACGAUACAUAGCCGACCUGAGAGGGUGAUCGGCCACACCGGGACUGAGACACGGCCCAGACUCCUACGGGAGGCAGCAGUAGGGAAUCUUCGGCAAUGGACGGAAGUCUGACCGAGCAACGCCGCGUGAGUGAAGAAGGUUUUCGGAUCGUAAAGCUCUGUUGUAAGAGAAGAACGAGUGUGAGAGUGGAAAGUUCACACUGUGACGGUAUCUUACCAGAAAGGGACGGCUAACUACGUG